AGCGAACGCUGGCGGCAGGCUUAACACAUGCAAGUCGAGCGGGCCCUUCGGGGUCAGCGGCGGACGGGUGAGUAACGCGUGGGAACGUGCCUUCUGGUCUGGAAUAACCCUGGGAAACUAGGGCUAAUACCGGAUACGCCCUUUUGGGGAAAGGUUUACUGCCGGAAGAUCGGCCCGCGUCUGAUUAGCUGGUUGGUGGGGUAACGGCCUACCAAGGCGACGAUCAGUAGCUGGUCUGAGAGGAUGAUUAGCCACACUGGGACUGAGACACGGCCCAGACUCCUACGGGAGGCAGCAGUGGGGAAUAUUGGACAAGGGGCGCAAGUCUGAUCCAGCCAUGCCGCGUGAGUGAUGAAGGCCUUAGGGUUGUAAAGCUCUUUUAUCCGGGACGAUAAUGACGGUACCGGAGGAAUAAGCCCCGGCUAACUUCGUG
RNAcentral lists this ribosomal RNA (433 nucleotides) under uncultured bacterium. RNAcentral's name for it is "partial 16S ribosomal RNA". It matches the Rfam family "Bacterial small subunit ribosomal RNA", at positions 29 to 507 of the family's 1533-position model. The record is from RNAcentral.